AUUGAACGCUGGCGGCAUGCUUUACACAUGCAAGUCGAACGGUAACAGGCCUUCGGGUGCUGACGAGUGGCGAACGGGUGGGUAAUGCACCGGAACGUACCCAGAGGUGGGGGAUAACGCAGCGAAAGCUGUGCUAAUACCGCAUGGGAUCUGAGGUUGAAAGCGGGGGACCGAGCAGCAAUGUUUGGCCUCGCGCCUUUGGAGCGGCCGAUGUCGGUUUAGCUAGUUGGUGGGGUAAAGACCUACCAAGUCGACGAUCCGUAGCUGGUCUGAGAGACCGACCACCCACACUAGGAGGGAGACAGGGCCCAUGGGACUACGGGAGGCACCAGAGUGGAAUGUUGGGCAAUGGGCGCGAGCAUGAUCCAGCAAUGCGGCGUGCGGGAAGACGGCCUUCGGGUUGGAAAGAGCUUUUGGCAGGAGCGAACCGGUGUCCGCUAAUACCGGGCGCUAAUGACGGUACCUGCAAAAUAAGCACCGGCUAACUACGUG
Molecule: ribosomal RNA, 492 nt
Filed under: uncultured bacterium
Lineage: Bacteria
Description: partial 16S ribosomal RNA
Rfam family: Bacterial small subunit ribosomal RNA
Source: RNAcentral